Molecule: long non-coding RNA, 735 nt
Organism: Armigeres subalbatus
Lineage: Eukaryota; Metazoa; Arthropoda; Insecta; Diptera; Culicidae
Exons: 3
Source: RefSeq, a predicted model, not a curated record
UAUUUUUUCUUUAAAAUAAAAGUUAAAACUUUGGAAUCGAAAGUUAUCUGUUUAAUUCAAACAUAUUUUUCAUCGGGUCAGAAUCCAAAUUUCGAAAUUUGUCUUAUGAACUAAAAAGUUUUUAAACUUUUAUUUUCAAAACAUUCAAUGUGGAAAAAACACCGUUCACCGUGACAGGUUAUUCGAAAUCGGAAGAAAAAGAAAAUGAAAUAUUUUUGUUGACAUACUUUUACCCGCACUCUUGUGAACAAUUUUAUAUUUAGUUUUUGAUUCACAUAGAAAGUAAAAAUGAAUUCCAGCCCGCUUAUCGUUGAAUUAUAUACAUAAUUACAGUGAUUAUGAGCCAUUGCAGCUCCCCCAGAUAUGAUGUGGAGCUAUGAGAAUCUCAGCAUUGGCGAUGUCGACUGUGUCAAUGAUGGCCUUGUAAAUUAAGUUCAGACACAUCUUCAUUGAGUUCCUUUCUGUUUGGCGGAACAAUAUUUAUAUAGAUUUAUAUAGAUUACGCCAUUUGGAAUCACAGCAAAGAUGACACUAUUUACCCCGAGGGACAGUUUUUUGGUGAACUCGCCCAAGCUGUUGGCAGCAUGUGCCUUCGGAUCAGCAGAAUUGAUGGGUAAGGCCUCGGGUCAGGCGAUCUACACCAGCCACAAGGCAAUUCCGUGAGAAAUGAAUAAAAUGAAAAAAAAAAUAUAAAAAUGAAGUGUUGUGUAAUAAAUAUUUACUGUUUCUGUAAGA